Long non-coding RNA from Sinocyclocheilus grahami, 505 nucleotides. RefSeq lists it as uncharacterized. NCBI's taxonomy places the organism in Eukaryota, Metazoa, Chordata, Actinopteri, Cypriniformes, Cyprinidae. The transcript is spliced from 4 exons. The record is from RefSeq and is a predicted model, not a curated record.
GUAGUCCUGGAAAACUGUUGGGCAACACUAUCCAAGGACAUAGAAUACAAACCUAGAUGGGAUUUGAUUGUUGAUGGAUGUGCCAAUCCUAAAGACCCUGAACAGACCAUCUUCCAUCCUGUAAUCGCAGAUGACAGAGUGGACAUCCCAGAUCACUUCAAAAGAUUUGAAGUUAAAACAUUUGCUUUCAAAGAGGAUGAUGAGAGUUCUGAAAGUAAUGAUGCCACCUUGGCCAGAAGGGACACUGCUGAUGGACGUUGCUACAAAGAGUGUCCAGAAGCUCAGAAUCCGGAUGGGAGCAGUUCGAAUAGAGUUUGCAGAAGUUCAGGCUUUUCAGAGGAAGCCCUGCAGCAUGUGUCUAUAGGCCCCAUUCUGUUGAUAUGAACCUGUACGUUUAAGAUUUCCAAAUUAUCUCAGGAAAUGUACUUGAGUAAUUCUGAAGGCAUCAACACAAGGAGACUUCUGGUUUUGUACACCACUUGGUGCAACAUGGAACUCGAAUUAU